This 97-nucleotide signal recognition particle RNA is filed under the name Gammaproteobacteria bacterium. RNAcentral's name for it is "signal recognition particle sRNA small type". It matches the Rfam family "Bacterial small signal recognition particle RNA". From Rfam's summary of the family: The signal recognition particle (SRP) is a universally conserved ribonucleoprotein involved in the co-translational targeting of proteins to membranes. Archaeal SRP consists of a 7S RNA and homologues of the eukaryotic SRP19 and SRP54 proteins. In most bacteria, the SRP consists of a 4.5S RNA and the Ffh protein (a homologue of the eukaryotic SRP54 protein). The record is from RNAcentral. Lineage: Bacteria; Pseudomonadati; Pseudomonadota; Gammaproteobacteria.
UACCGGUCCCCUCGCGACAGUAGACUGUGGACCCGGUCAGGCCCGGAAGGGAGCAGCCGCAGCAGUGGACCUGGGCGCCGGGGUGUGGCUGGUGCGG